GGUCCUACGGGGGGCAGCAGUAGGGAAUCUUCCACAAUGGACGAAAGUCUGAUGGAGCAACGCCGCGUGAGUGAAGAAGGGUUUCGGCUCGUGAAGCUCUGUUGGUAGGGGAGAAAGAUAGAGGUAGUAACUGGCCUUUAUUUGACGGUAAUUACUUAGAAAGUCACGGCUAACUACGUGCCAGCAGCCGCGGGAAUACGGAGGUGGCAAGCGUUGUCCGGAUUUAUUGGGCGGAAAGCGAGUGCAG
This 247-nucleotide ribosomal RNA is filed under the name uncultured bacterium. RNAcentral describes it as "partial 16S ribosomal RNA". It matches the Rfam family "Bacterial small subunit ribosomal RNA", at positions 335 to 574 of the family's 1533-position model. The record is from RNAcentral.